Triticum aestivum (bread wheat) is the source of this 120-nucleotide non-coding RNA. Lineage: Eukaryota; Viridiplantae; Streptophyta; Magnoliopsida; Poales; Poaceae. The record is from Rfam.
CUUAUACUCCCUCCGCCCGAAAUUACUUGUCACAUAAAUGGAUGUAUGUAGACAUAUUUUUAGUUAAGUCCAUUUCUAUCCAUUUCUGCGACAAGUAAUUCGGGACGGCGGGAGUAUUUG